Non-coding RNA from Salmo salar (Atlantic salmon), 4120 nucleotides. NCBI's taxonomy places the organism in Eukaryota, Metazoa, Chordata, Actinopteri, Salmoniformes, Salmonidae. The record is from RefSeq and is a predicted model, not a curated record.
GUCUGCUUCACAGGCGUUCUCUGAAGUCUCGCGUUGUUACGUCUCUGGGUUUAGAAACUGGUAGUGGGGGAACAGGAAGUUCCGCGCAGGCGCGCAUCAUUCUUCAGAAUAAAGGAUACGUCAGAAUUGUGCGGUCGAGACAACAACUUCUGUGUCCGUUUCAAAUGUAUAACUACUGGCCGACUCAGAUUAAGUCUGAGGCCGGUAACAUCAACAGUGAGGACAAACCCAGCCUGCCUCUCUCCCUCCACACUGAGUCCAAACCUACAGUCACUGGGUCCUGAUUGUGACAGUGUAGCCCAGUUUGCACUGCAGGGUCCAGAGAUGGCAUCAGUGAAGCUGGAAGACUGCAGUCAAACACUGCAGCUGAAUGUCAACAUUAAAGAUGAAGAAGAGGAGGAGAAGAUUGGGAAAUCUGUUUCUCAUGGUAUGAGGCCGGUAACAUCAACAGUGAGGACAAACCCAGCCUGCCUCUCUCCUUCCACACUGAGUCCAAACCUACAGUCACUGGGUCCUGAUUGUGACAGUGGAGCCCAGUUUGCUCUGCAGGAUCCAGAGAUGGCAUCAGUGAAGCUGGAAGACUGCAGUCAAACACUGGAGCUGAAUGUCAACAUUAAAGAUGAAGAUGAGGAGAAGAUUGGGAAAACUGUUUCUCAUGCUGCACUGUGGUAGUGGGGGAACAGGAAGUUCCAGGCAGGCACGCACCAUUCUUCAGAAUAAAGAAACGCCAGAACUGUGCAGUCAAGAACCUUUGUGUCGGUUUCUAUUUAUUAAUACAGGUGAUUGUGAUCAACUAUUUUACAAGUCACAUAGCUAGAAGCCUUGGGUUUGUCUGAAUGGAUGUACAUCAUUUCCUCAAGACUUUGUCCAAACCUACAUUCAUUCACUGGGUCCUGAUUGUGACAGUGGAGCCCAGUUUGCACUGCAGGAUCCAGAGAUGGCAUCAGUGAAGCUGGAAGACUGCAGUCAAACACUGGAGCUGAAUGUCAUCAUUAAAGAUGAAGAAGAGGAGAAGAUUGGGGCAUCUGUUUCUCAUGGAAACCAUGUUGACACAUUCUCUACAUCCAGAGAGCAACAGCAGGAAGAUCACAGAGCUAAGAGGUCUCAUCACUGCCCACAUUGUGAGGAGAUUUUUCAAUUUCUAUCAAAGCUAAAAAUACACACAGGAGAGAAUCUGUAUUCCUGUACUGACUGUGGGAAGAAUUUCUCUCUACUGAGCAACUUCAAAAGACAUGAACGUAUACAUACAGGAGAGAAGCCUUACUUAUGCUCUGACUGUGUAAAAUGCUUCACAACAUCAACUGAGCUAAAACGUCACCAGAGAACACACACAGGAGAGAAGCCUUACUCCUGCUCUGACUGUGGAAAGAGUUUCUCUCAACUGAGCAACUUAAAAGCACAUGUACGUAUACAUACAGGAGAGAAUCCUUAAUCUUGCUCUGAAUGUGGGAAGAGUUUCUCUCUACUGAGCAACUUAAAAUCACAUGAACGUAUGCAUAAAGGAGAGAAGCCUUACAUAUGCUCUGUGUAAAAUGCUUCACAACAUCAACUGAGCUAAAACGUCAUCAGAGAACACACACAGGAGAGAAGCCUUACUCCUGCUCUGACUGUGGAAAUAGUUUUUCUCGACUGGGCACCUUAAAAAGACACCAAGUUAAACAUAAAGGACCACUGAUCUGACUGUGGAAAAUGUUUUAAAACAACAGCUGAGCUAAAAGGUCAUCAUAGAACAGACAUAGGAGAGAAGCCUUACAUCUGCUCUGACUGUGCGUCGAGUUUCUCUACUGUGCCACUUAAAAUGACAUGAAUGUAUACACACAGGAGAGAAGCCUUGUCACUUCACUGACUGUGAGAAGAGAUUCUACAGAUUGGGCCAUUUAAAAAGACACCAAUGUUUACAUAAAGGAGAGAAGCCUCAUCAGUUCUCUCAGACCAGCUAAGAUUAGACACUCCACUUAAUUAUCAUCUCAUAAAAUAAUUGGCAACGUUGAAUUGGAUCAAAUGAAGAAAGCGUAUAACACUAUUGUAAUCCUAUUUUUUUCUAACUGUGAGAGAACUGUGCAGAGGAACGGUUAGCCUCUCUUUACUGAUCAGUAUGCACCUUGUUAGUUUUGGUGUGUUUUGUUAGGUUAUACUGUAAAGAUAUUGAGAUGAGGCGUCUCACAAUGGAUUCUGAUGGUUAACUGGGUGGUACUGCUUCCCUCUGCAGAUUUCUGUGGGAAUGAGCUGGUAGACAACAUGUACAGAGUGUACAAAACAUUGAAGGAUGCCUGCUCUUUCCAUGACAUAGACUGACCAGGUGAACCCAGGUGAAAGCUAUAAUCCUUAAUGAUGUAGUUUUUAUUAUGGAUUUGUUAUGGAUCCCCAUUUAGCUUUCAGCAGAAAGCAAGAGACUGCAGUUGCAGUGGGCUAAGAAAUGGAAAGACUGGGCACUGGAGAAUGAAUUUGAACAACAUUGCCUGGUCUGAUGAAUCCCUGCUGUUUCAUGCUGAUGGGAGGACUAGGGUAUAGAGGAAACCAUGAGUACAUGCAUCCAUUCCAUAUGUCAACAUUGCAGGCUGGUGGUGGUGGUGUGAGGGGUGUGUUUUCAUGCCACACAUUGGGUCCCUUGAUAGAAGUGGAGCAACGUUUGAAUACCACAGGAUAUGUAAACAUCAUUGGCAAUCAGGUGCAUCCUUUCAUGGCAGCAGUGUAUCCAUCUGCAAAUAGAUUUUUUCAGCAGGAUUAUGCCCCGUUCCACAAGGCUUGUCCAGGAAUGGUUCCAAGAACAUGACAGUGAAUUCAGCUUACUGCAGUGGCCUGCUGAGUCACCAGAUCUCAAUCCAAUUGUACAUAUGUGGGAGGAGAUGGAACAAGCUAUUCAGAGUAGAGAUCCACUCCCAGCCAACUUGACACAAUUGUGGGAAGCAUUGGAGUCAACAUGGACCAGCAUCCCUGUGGAACGUUCUCAACACCUUGGACAGUCUAUGCCGUGACAAUUUGAGGCUUUUCUGAGGAUAAAAGGGGCUGCAACUCAAUAUUAGGAUGGUGUUUCUAAUGUUUUGUACACAAUGUAUAUCAGAUAAAGAUGGUGUGAUGAUCAUUUUUUAGCGUUAGUUUGGGUGGAUUAUUUUAUGUUAAACAACUUUUGUUUAAUGAUAAACAGGCUUAGAACUGACUUGUUUAUUAAAUUGUAUUUUAAUUCUUGAUUCAUUAUUUUAGUCAUUGAUGAUGAAUGUAUUUGAAUAAUUGUGUUGAAGUUAAUUGAUCUGGUGGCAGGUAGCCUAACGGUUAAGAGUGUUGGGCCAGUAACUGAAAGGUCGCUGGUUUGAAUCCCGAGCCAACUAGGUGAAUAAUAUGUCAUUGUGCCCUUCAGCAAGCCAAUUAACUCUUAUUUGUCCUGUAAUUUGCUCUGGAUAAGAGCAUCUGCUAAAUGACAAGAUUGUAAUGAAAAAUGUUUGUAUAUGAAUUUAUGCUGGGCAAACACUUUUUUCUCUUAAAUGAAAUACUGUAUAUACAAUACACAACAUUACCACUUUGUUUACCCUGGUCAGAGGGACAGGACCAUAGUAAGCUAGACUAUAUAGCUGCUGUUGUUAGUAGCCUACAGUUUCCAUGCAAUACAGCAUGUCAGAUCACUAAUGAUUAGGUGUACAGGCUGCUACAUUUAUACAAGAGUUUCUACCUGUGUCUGUCAGGAGUGAUGUGUUAUCAGGAUUGUUAAAUAACUACUGGAGAGAAGUGGAGAGCCGCCUUGACCUUUGUGCCCGACAUGGUCAAGAGAGACAGAGAGCCUGCAGCAGCACUCCGAUGUGAAGAACAGCCCUUAGAAAAAUGUGCGAUGGUAGUACAAUAAAAAAAUAUAGCAUGGUAUUUUUGUGGAAUGGUAGUGACCAAAAAACAAUAUGUUUUUUAUUGUACUAGAACUAGGAACAUGGAAGAAACUGACAGAUGCGUCAUAAUAGCCCAGAAGUAAAGCUGCACUGGGAGACACAUUUGAAAUGGAUUACAUUGUCUCCACCCUGCUGCAUGUAUUCAAUCACAGUAAAAUACGAUUCAAAUGUAUUGUUGGAAGGGAUGUGGUCACCAUUCAUGUAAUACAUUAAAUAUAUACAUCAGAUGGUAUUGGGGAGCAAUUUCA